GAGCAUAUAGCUCAGUGGUAGAGCCCAAGCUUAGCCUGCACAAUGUCCUGGGUUCAAUCCCCAGUACCUCCA
Molecule: transfer RNA, 72 nt
Filed under: Camelus bactrianus (Bactrian camel)
Lineage: Eukaryota; Metazoa; Chordata; Mammalia; Artiodactyla; Camelidae
Also listed under: 2 other names
Rfam family: tRNA
About the family: Transfer RNA (tRNA) molecules are approximately 80 nucleotides in length. Their secondary structure includes four short double-helical elements and three loops (D, anti-codon, and T loops).
Source: Rfam by way of RNAcentral